GAGUUUGAUCGUGGCUCAGAGUGAACGCUGGCGGUAGGCCUAACACGUGCAAGUCGAACGGUAACAGGUCUUUCGGGAUGCUGACGAGUGGCGGACGGGUGAGGAAUACAUCGGAAUCUGCUCAGUCGUGGGGGAUAACGCAUGGAAACGUGCGCUAAUACCGCAUACGACCUUCGGGUGAAAGCAGGGGAAUCUCUCGGGAUCCUUGCGCGAUUGAAUGAGCCGAUGUCGGAUUAGCUAGUUGGUAGGGUAAAAGCCUACCAAGGCCACGAUCCGUAGCUGGUCUGAGAGGAUGAUCAGCCACACUGGGACUGAGACACGGCCCAGACUCCUGCGGGAGGCAGCAGUGGGGAAUAUUGGACAAUGGGGGCAACCCUGAUCCAGCCAUACCGCGUGGGUGAAGAAGGCCUUCUGGGUUGUAAAGCCCUUUUGUUGGGGAAGAAAAACAACGGGUUAAUACCCCGUUGUAUGACGGUACCCAAAGAAUAAGCACCGGCUAACUUCGUGCCAGCAGCCGCGGUAAUACGAAGGGUGCAAGCGUUACUCGGAAUUACUGGGCGUAAAGGGUGCGUAGGUGGUUGCGCCAGUCUGUCGUGAAAGCCCUGGGCUUAACCUGGGAAUGGCGAUGGAAACUGUGCAACUAGAGUGUGACAGAGGGUGGUGGAAUUCCUGGUGUAGCAGUGAAAUGCGUAGAGAUCAGGAGGAACAUUCGUGGCGAAGGCGGCCACCUGGGUCAACACUGACACUGAGGCACGAAAGCGUGGGGAGCAAACAGGAUUAGAUACCCUGGUAGUCCACGCCCUAAACGAUGCGAACUGGAUGUUGGGUCCAACUUGGGAUUCAGUAUCGAAGCUAACGCGUUAAGUUCGCCGCCUGGGGAGUACGGUCGCAAGACUGAAACUCAAAGGAAUUGACGGGGGCCCGCACAAGCGGUGGAGUAUGUGGUUUAAUUCGAUGCAACGCGCAGAACCUUACCUGGCCUUGACAUGCACGGAACCUUU
RNAcentral lists this ribosomal RNA (1001 nucleotides) under uncultured Lysobacterales bacterium. Its description in RNAcentral is "bacterial SSU rRNA". It matches the Rfam family "Bacterial small subunit ribosomal RNA", at positions 9 to 1000 of the family's 1533-position model. The record is from RNAcentral. Lineage: Bacteria; Pseudomonadati; Pseudomonadota; Gammaproteobacteria; Lysobacterales.